RNAcentral lists this ribosomal RNA (493 nucleotides) under uncultured bacterium. RNAcentral's name for it is "partial 16S ribosomal RNA". It matches the Rfam family "Bacterial small subunit ribosomal RNA", at positions 29 to 523 of the family's 1533-position model. The record is from RNAcentral.
AUUGAACGCUGGCGGCAUGCUUUACACAUGCAAGUCGAACGGUAACAGGUUAAGCUGACGAGUGGCGAACGGGUGAGUAAUGCAUCGGAACGUGCCCGAUCGUGGGGGAUAACGCAGCGAAAGCUGCGCUAAUACCGCAUACGAUCUGAGGAUGAAAGCGGGGGACCGUAAGGCCUCGCGCGAUCGGAGCGGCCGAUGUCAGAUUAGGUGGUUGGUGGGGUAAAGGCUCACCAAGCCGACGAUCUGUAGCUGGUCUGAGAGGACGACCAGCCCCACUGGGACGGAGAAACGGCCCAAACUCCGACGGGAGGCAGCAGUGGGGAAUUUUGGACAAUGGGCGAAAGCCUGAUCCAGCAAUGCCGCGGGCAGGAAGAAGGCCUUCGGGUUGUAAACUGCUUUUGUACGGAGCGAAAAGGCUCUCUCUAAUACAGGGGGCUCAUGACGGUACCGUAAGAAUAAGCACCGGCUAACUACGUGCCAGCCGCCGCGGUAA